This 81-nucleotide transfer RNA is filed under the name Actinomycetota bacterium. RNAcentral's name for it is "Actinobacteria bacterium (wastewater metagenome) tRNA-OTHER". It matches the Rfam family "tRNA". From Rfam's summary of the family: Transfer RNA (tRNA) molecules are approximately 80 nucleotides in length. Their secondary structure includes four short double-helical elements and three loops (D, anti-codon, and T loops). The record is from RNAcentral. Lineage: Bacteria; Bacillati; Actinomycetota.
CGGGGUGUGGCGCAGCUUGGUAGCGCGCUUCGUUCNNUCGGGACGAAGAGGUCGUGGGUUCAAAUCCCGCCACCCCGACCA